Molecule: ribosomal RNA, 493 nt
Filed under: uncultured bacterium
Lineage: Bacteria
Description: bacterial SSU rRNA
Rfam family: Bacterial small subunit ribosomal RNA
Source: RNAcentral
GCCUUUCAGAGGGGGACAACAGUUGGAAACGACUGCUAAUACCGCAUGACACAUAGGUGUCGCAUGGCACUUAUGUCAAAGAUUUAUCGAUGAAAGAUGGCCUCGGGUCUGAUUAGCUAGUUGGUGAGGUAACGGCCCACCAAGGCGACGAUCAGUAGCCGGACUGAGAGGUUGAACGGCCACAUUGGGACUGAGAUACGGCCCAGACUCCUACGGGAGGCAGCAGUGGGGAAUAUUGGGCAAUGGGCGCAAGCCUGACCCAGCAACGCCGCGUGAAGGAAGAAGGCUUUCGGGUUGUAAACUUCUUUUGUCAGGGACGAGUAGAAGACGGUACCUGACGAAUAAGCCACGGCUAACUACGUGCCAGCAGCCGCGGUAAUACGUAGGUGGCAAGCGUUGUCCGGAUUUACUGGGUGUAAAGGGCGUGUAGCCGGGAGGGCAUGUCAAAUGUGAAAUCCACGGGCUCAACUCGUGAACUGCAUUUGAAACUACU